This 607-nucleotide long non-coding RNA is filed under the name Calidris pugnax (ruff). RNAcentral's name for it is "lncRNA (ENSCPUG00000015690.1)". The record is from RNAcentral. Lineage: Eukaryota; Metazoa; Chordata; Aves; Charadriiformes; Scolopacidae.
AGGAAUGCCUCUCAGCUGAAGGCUGUAAGAUUUAGCUAAUAGUGCCCCAAAUCCUAGCAGAGUGUUCUUUACUCUGAGGCUGUGUCCCCUCAGCUCUUGCUGUGCUGUGGGCAGGAUGAGAUUUAAGUGAAUGAAACCCACCAGUGAGCAAGUGGCAGUGGUGAACUUGCAAACCAAGUUGCCCAGGAGCUAGUGGCUCUGGAGCUCAGCAGUGAGGGGAGCAGCUCAGGUCUGUCGGCUGCCAGAAAACCGUUGUCAAAAGCCAUACCGGCAACCAAACCUACAGAUGAACCUACAGCUCCUGCCCUGUUCUGUUUGAAGGCUUCACUUCUUUUGAUCUCUCUGGGGCAACAGCCUGGCUACAGUCCACGUGUGUUUUUCUACAGCAUCAGAAACCGACUUAUUGCUCUAGGUGCUCUAGGUUUGCGGCUCUGUUGCCACCUGGGCAUGGCUAGGCAGAGCCACCUCCUGGCAGGAUGGUAAGCAAAGCUCCUGAUCUGCUCUGUCCACCCAAAAAAGGUGUGUAGAUAGGCCUCCUGAAACCUGUUUUGUACAUAAAGUGGGGUGGCUCGAGGGUGGGUAAGAGAAAAGGGCAGCUGGUUUAUUA